GACGAACGCUGGCGGCGUGCUUAACACAUGCAAGUCGAACGGAAAGGCCCUGCUUGCAGGGUACUCGAGUGGCGAACGGGUGAGUAACACGUGGGUGAUCUGCCCUGCACUUCGGGAUAAGCCUGGGAAACUGGGUCUAAUACCGGAUAGGAGCCAUUUUUAGUGUGAUGGUUGGAAAGUUUUUUCGGUGUAGGAUGAGCUCGCGGCCUAUCAGCUUGUUGGUGGGGUAAUGGCCUACCAAGGCGGCGACGGGUAGCCGGCCUGAGAGGGUGGACGGCCACAUUGGGACUGAGAUACGGCCCAGACUCCUACGGGAGGCAGAAGUGGGGAAUAUUGCACAAGGGGCGCAAGCCGGAUGCAGCGACGCCGCGGGGGGGAUGACGGCCUUCGGGUUGUAAACUCCUUUCGCUAGGGACGAAGCUUUUUGUGACGGUACCUAGAUAAGAAGCACCGGCUAACUACGUG
RNAcentral lists this ribosomal RNA (465 nucleotides) under uncultured bacterium. RNAcentral's name for it is "partial 16S ribosomal RNA". It matches the Rfam family "Bacterial small subunit ribosomal RNA", at positions 28 to 507 of the family's 1533-position model. The record is from RNAcentral.